This 497-nucleotide ribosomal RNA is filed under the name uncultured bacterium. RNAcentral's name for it is "partial 16S ribosomal RNA". It matches the Rfam family "Bacterial small subunit ribosomal RNA", at positions 28 to 507 of the family's 1533-position model. The record is from RNAcentral.
GACGAACGCUGGCGGCGUGCCUAAUACAUGCAAGUUGAGCGCUGAAGGUUGGUACUUGUACCAACUGGAUGAGCAGCGAACGGGUGAGUAACGCGUGGGGAAUCUGCCUUUGAGCGGGGGACAACAUUUGGAAACGAAUGCUAAUACCGCAUAAAAACUUUAAACACAAGUUUUAAGUUUGAAAGAUGCAAUUGCAUCACUCAAAGAUGAUCCCGCGUUGUAUUAGCUAGUCGGUGAGGUAAAGGCUCACCAAGGCGAUGAUACAUAGCCGACCUGAGAGGGUGAUCGGCCACAUUGGGACUGAGACCCGGCCCAAACUCCUACGGGAGGCAGCAGUAGGGAAUCUUCGGCAAUGGACGAAAGUCUGACCGAGCAACGCCGCGUGAGUGAAGAAGGUUUUCGGAUCGUAAAACUCUGUUGGUAGAGAAGAACGUUGGUGAGAGUGGAAAGCUCAUCAAGUGACGGUAACUACCCAGAAAGGGACGGCUAACUACGUG